This 253-nucleotide ribosomal RNA is filed under the name uncultured bacterium. RNAcentral's name for it is "partial 16S ribosomal RNA". It matches the Rfam family "Bacterial small subunit ribosomal RNA", at positions 524 to 776 of the family's 1533-position model. The record is from RNAcentral.
UACAGAGGUCCCGAGCGUUGGUCGGAUUCACUGGGCGUAAAGGGUGCGUAGGUGGUGGGGUAAGUCGGAUGUGAAAGCUCGGAGCUCAACUCCGAAAUGGCAUUGGAAACUACCCUGCUGGAGGUUUGGAGGGGGGACUGGAAUACUUGGUGUAGCAGUGAAAUGCGUAGAUAUCAAGUGGAACACCAGUGGCGAAGGCGAGUCCCUGGACAAAACCUGACACUGAGGCACGAAAGCUAGGGGAGCAAACAGG